CUGCAUGUGCUUGGCAGCCUGUGACUAGCGUUAAUGUAUACACUUGCAGUUUUAAAACCGGCUACAUUCAACCAACCUUUCGGACGGCAAGAAUCAUCCCUCUUUUGCAUUUGCGCAAUCAAUUUUUUCCGCGUUAGCUCUGAUCCAAGCAAAAACUCGUUUAGUAAAAAGAAACAACACAGAGAAACAGAGAGAGAAUCCUACUUCGCUUUUCAGAUCUUGAAGCUCUUGGCUUUCUCAUUUGUUGUUGGUAAGAUUGUGUAAGAUACAGGACUGAUUAUGCUCAACACGUAUCAUUUUCGAUUUGAUCGCCUCUGAGGUGAAAGUUAUUAUAUGAGCAGUUUUAUCACGAGCUCGAGCCAACGUCUUUUUUAAUUGUUUAGCAUGUUUCUCAAAGAGCCUCUAUCGAUCAGUACAAAUCCUGAGGUGCAACGAAUAUUUACCGAUCC
Molecule: long non-coding RNA, 449 nt
Filed under: Selaginella moellendorffii
Lineage: Eukaryota; Viridiplantae; Streptophyta; Lycopodiopsida; Selaginellales; Selaginellaceae
Description: long non-coding RNA (SMOE_LNC001608)
Source: RNAcentral